Molecule: antisense RNA, 69 nt
Filed under: Actinokineospora terrae
Lineage: Bacteria; Bacillati; Actinomycetota; Actinomycetes; Pseudonocardiales; Pseudonocardiaceae
Description: ASpks TB sRNA
Rfam family: ASpks TB sRNA
Source: Rfam by way of RNAcentral
CUUCACCGACCCCAGCCACAGCGGCGUCUCCCGCUCUUGGCCGUAGGUCGCCAGCAGUGCCUGGGCCUC